UGGGGAAUAUUGGACAAUGGGCGAAAGCCUGAUCCAGCCAUGCCGCGUGUGUGAAGAAGCUCUUCGGAUUUUAAAGCACUUUAAGUUGGGAGGAAGGGCAGUAAGCGAAUACCUUGCUGUUUUGACGUUACCGACAGACUAAGCACCGGCUAACUCUGUGCCAGCAGCCGCGGUAAUACAGAGGGUGCAAGCGUUAAUCGGAAUUACUGGUCGUAAAGCGCGCGUAGGUGGUUCGUUAAGUUGAAUGUGAAAGCCCCGGGCUCAACCUGGGAACUGCAUCCAAAACUGGCGAGCUAGAGUAGGGCAGAGGGUGGUGGAAUUUCCUGUGUAGCGGUGAAAUGCGUAGAUAUAGGAAGGAAAACCAGUGGCGAAGGCGACCACCUGGGCUCAUACUGACACUGAGGUGCGAAAGCGUGGGGAGCAAACAGG
This 429-nucleotide ribosomal RNA is filed under the name Pseudomonadota bacterium. Its description in RNAcentral is "Proteobacteria bacterium partial 16S ribosomal RNA". It matches the Rfam family "Bacterial small subunit ribosomal RNA", at positions 355 to 776 of the family's 1533-position model. The record is from RNAcentral. Lineage: Bacteria; Pseudomonadati; Pseudomonadota.